This 813-nucleotide ribosomal RNA is filed under the name Triticum aestivum (bread wheat). RNAcentral's name for it is "partial small subunit ribosomal RNA". The record is from RNAcentral. Lineage: Eukaryota; Viridiplantae; Streptophyta; Magnoliopsida; Poales; Poaceae.
AUGGAUUACAGGCCUAUUAGUCUUUGUAAUGUUGUUUAUAAGAUCAUUGCUAAAUCUCUUGCUAACAGGAUUAAACCUCACCUUCCUGAUUAUAUAGAUCCUGCCCAACAGGCUUUCAUUGAGGGUAGAAGAAUUAGUGAUAAUAUUAUAAUUGCUCAAGAGAUAGCUCACUCUUUCUCUCUCAAAUCUUGGAAACAUGAUGCCUUCAUGUUAAAAAUUGAUCUUGCUAAAGCUUUUGAUAGACUUGAGUGGGACUUCAUUGUUCUUGCGCUUACUCGUAAAGGGCUGCAUGCUCAUUUCAUUAACUUAGUGCAUGCAUGCAUCUCUUCUCCCACUUUUUCUGUUCUUAUUAAUGGGCAACCUUCUCGUAAAUUUAAAAGUUUUCGAGAGACUCGACAAGGCUGUCCCAUGUCCCCUUACUUGUUUGUUAUUGCCAUUAAUGAACUUUCGAUUGCUCUUAAUGAGGCGCUUCAGGCUAACCAUUUGCAGGGUAUUUCUCUUGGUCCAAGUUGCCCUUUGGUUCAUUCACUUCUAUUUGCAGAUGACCUUUUGGUUUGUGGUCAGGCCACCCAUCAUGAAGCUCAAACUAUGGCGAAUCUUAUUCGGCAAUUUUGUGAUCUCUCUGGCCAAACUCACAACUGGAGCAAAUCUGCAAUCUUGUUUAGCUCGCAUGUUUCUCAGGCUACUAUUCAAGACAUUAAGCAUAUUUUUUCUGUUUCUAAUCUUGAUGCUAAUUUCACUCAUCUUGGUCAUCCUCUCAUUCUCCCUGCUAAUAAUAGAUUGGCUGCUUACAAUUUUGUGAUAAAUUUUUAA